AUCCCAUGAUUUGGACACUUGCUCAUUAGCUCCUUGAACCUGUUCCAUGUCUCAUGAUAGCUCUCUUCAUUUCUCUGUUGGAAAGUUUGAAUUUUCAAUCUAAUUUU
This 107-nucleotide small nucleolar RNA is filed under the name Olea europaea subsp. europaea. RNAcentral's name for it is "Plant small nucleolar RNA R71". It matches the Rfam family "Plant small nucleolar RNA R71". From Rfam's summary of the family: R71 is a member of the C/D box family of snoRNAs containing the C (UGAUGA) and D (CUGA) box motifs. Lineage: Eukaryota; Viridiplantae; Streptophyta; Magnoliopsida; Lamiales; Oleaceae. The record is from Rfam by way of RNAcentral.